GUAGAGAUGGCUGAGUUGACUAAAGCGACGAAUUGUUAAUAUGUUGUAUGAGUUUUUCGUACCAAGGGUUCAAAUCCCUUUUUUCUGUU
Non-coding RNA from Ilex paraguariensis (yerba mate), 89 nucleotides. The record is from the annotation of a GenBank genome assembly. NCBI's taxonomy places the organism in Eukaryota, Viridiplantae, Streptophyta, Magnoliopsida, Aquifoliales, Aquifoliaceae.